This is a long non-coding RNA of Cyprinus carpio carpio, 4114 nucleotides long. NCBI's taxonomy places the organism in Eukaryota, Metazoa, Chordata, Actinopteri, Cypriniformes, Cyprinidae. The record is from Ensembl.
UUGUUUUUCAGUGAAAUACGCGUAUUUAACAUGUUGUUGACGUUUAAAUUCACGUGUUUUUGACCCUUUUGGCCUUCCAUAAGGGGAUUCCCGUGAGGGAAGUGCUUAGAGAAGUUUGUGAGUACAGCCAAGUUGAAGAAGAUGGUUUUAGGAUUUGAAAACAUUCACAAACCAGUUCCGUGAAUCAAACCCAUCACUUACACUUACUAGACAUUAAACUAUGGAGGAAUGUGAGCUGAGCAACAGUCCUAGACAUGAAGAACAGGUCAAACUGAAGAAAGAUAAGAAUAAUGUGGAGCAAACACGUACGGAUCUGGGUCCUUGUGUAUGCGGUUAUGACUGCUGUGUUUGUUUCCAAACCUGUGAUUGUCCUGGAUGCUGUGAUUGUCCUGGAUGUGAUUGUCCUGGAUGCUGUGAUUGUCCUGGAUGUGAUUUUUCUGCAUGCUGUGAUUGUCUUGGAUUCUGUGAUUGUUCUGAAUUUUGUGAGCUUGUGUGUUCUGGAUUCUGUGAUUGUUUUUCAUCCUGCUGCGAGUGUCUGGGAUCCAUUUUGGGAUGUUUUUGUCAGAGCCUUUUGGAUGCUUGAGUAAAUGGAUUUCAAGGGAUGCCACAGAAGUCAGAAGAAAACAUCCGAUACAAAGCCAACAAACAAACAUUGGGAAAUCUUCAUUAAAUAUCAUAAUGGAAUGAUUUUUAAACUUCACAAAGAUGUUGUUGUUAUCUGUACAUUUACAAAAAUGCAACUGUAAAAUACGCUAAAACAAAUCCAACAAAAGUUGAACUUCUUCUGCAGUAAUGUCUGAUUGUAGCUUUAAAUACAAACUGCUCGAGAGUGAAGAGAAACUAAAAUGCACCAGCAUAAAACAAGUCUCUUGAGAUUGUUGAGCCACAGAGUUUGAUGAUGUGGUUUGAAAAAUGUCAUCAGUUUUGGUUUCGUUUGGAGGAUGUUUAAUCUAAACCAGAUUUUGUUCUGUUUCAGGCAGAAGGAGAAUAGUGUGAUGAAAUUAAGCAGAAGGUUUGGUCACAUUAGAUUUUAUGCUCUUCACUUCCAUUCAUGAGAUCCUCUGGACUCUGUAAGAGUAGAUGAACUCUCACUCAGAACAGAUCAACUUUCACAGCUUAGUUCUGCUUUAGUCUGUCUUUCAUGUUCAUGCCUGUCUCAACGAGACAGCAACAGGAUAUUAACCCUUAAAGACCUAAAACAUUUUGCACGUGUACUUUUCUUUCUUUCAGACCUAUUCUAACAGUCAGCAUCAAGCACCAUAUAUCUUUAUAAACAAGAGAACUAGAACAAGAGAAAGUCCCAAUUUUCCUUUUGUUUUCUCUGAGAAUGAAUGAAUUUGCAAGAAUUUUAAGAACAACGCAAGCAACAGUUGGGUGUGUCCUGGAUUUUUUUUCUUAAGCGUUUUCUUUAGUGCUUUAUUUUUUGAAUCAGUUGGCACAUAAGGGAUAAUGCAGGGCUAGAUGUGCAUUAAACGAUUUUAAUACACAAAGUGGAGGUAAAGAACCACCUGACGUGAAGAAUUAAAAUAUCAUGGUCAUUUGCCAGCAUUGACAAAUGAGAGGAAGCAGAAGAGGGGUAAGCGUGGAGGUAUCUGGGCUAGGCUAACGGCUAACCCACACAAGCCAUCUAUCCCCACCAUCGUACUGGCUAACGUACGCUCUUUGGACAAUAAACUGGACUUCAUCCGAUUACUACGUUCAACUCAAAGGACUGUAAGAGACUGUUGUGUUUUUGUGUUCACGGAAACAUGGCUUAGCAACAGCGUUCUGGACUGCGCCAUUCAGCUCGACCAGCUGACGUGCUAUCGAGCAGACAGCGAUCUCGUCGCGGGAGGAAAAACCCGCGGCGGCGGGCUUUGUGUUUACAUCAAUGAUGCGUGGUGCCGCGAUGCUGUUGUGAUCUGCAAACACUGCUCACCCCUGGUGGAGUUUAUGAUUAUUAAGUGCCGGCCGUUCUAUCUGCCGAGGGAAUAUACUGCCAUACUGCUCGUUUCGGUUUACAUUCCCCCAAACAACAACAACAGCAACAGGAACGAUGCACUAAAUAAACUGCACCAGCACAUCAGUGAGCAGCAGACAGCACACCCUGAUGCUUUUCUCAUCAUAGCUGGGGAUUUCAAACAUGCUGACUUAGAGAGUGUGUUACCAAAAAUACACUAACACAUUCAUUUUCCAACAAGAGGUAAAAACAUUUUAGACUUUGUUUAUACCACACAGAGAGGAGCUUACAAAGCCCUCCCCCUCCCCCACCUCGGUGCCUCAGACCACAUCACUGUCAUGCUAAUGCCUGCAUACAGACCGCUCGUUAAAGUAGCCAAACCAGUUCAGAAACAGAUUCAAGUGUGGCCAGAAGGGUCGUCAGACGCUCUUCAAGACUGCUUUGAUACAACUGACUGGAAUAUGUUUAAGCAGGCUGCCACUUACAAUAGCACCACUGACCUCCAGGAGUACUCAGAGACUGUCACUGCUUACAUCAACAAGUGUAUUGAUGAUGUCACAAAAACUAUCACUGUCCGGGCUAACCAGAAGCCGUGGAUGACAGGGGAGGUCUACAGACUCCUGGAGACACGGAACGCUGCCUUCAGAGCUGGAGAUGAGGUGGGCCUGAGAACAGCCAGGGCCAACCUAUCCCGCGGCAUCAGAGAGGCUAAGAGACAGUACUCCAGGAGGAUAGCCCAUCAAUUCAGUGACAGCAGAGACACUCAGAGCCUGUGGCAGGGGAUACAGACCAUUACGGACUACAAGCCCCCACCACGGACCUGUGACAGCAACAUCUCUCUGCUGAACGAGCUGAACACCUUCUUCGCUCGCUUUGAGGCACAAAACAGCUCCACUGCACAGAAGACUCCACCUCCUCCCAGUGACCAGGUGAUGACGCUGACCCUGGACAGCGUGAGGAGAUCCUUCAGCAGGAUCAAUGCACGCAAAGCUCCGGGACCUGACAACAUUCCUGGGCGUGUACUGAGAGACUGUGCAGCAGAACUUCACUGAUGUCUUCACAGACAUUUUCAACAUCUCACUUAGUCAGGCUGUUGUCUCCACAUGCUUCAAAGCUACCACCAUCAUUCCAGUCCCGAAGAAGCCAUCUCCAUCCUGCUUCAAUGACUACCGUCCUGUUGCACUUACUCCCAUCCUCAUGAAGUGCUUCGAACGGCUAGUCAUGCACUAUAUCAAGUCUGCCCUCCCCCCUCCCUGGACACAUUCCAGUUUGCAUAUCGGUCCAACCAGUCGACCGAUGAUGCCAUCUCAACUACCCUCCACUCAGCACUCACACAUCUAGAGAAAAAAGACUCAUACGUCAGAAUGCUGUUCAUAGACUUCAGUUCAGCAUUCAACACAAUCAUCCCUCAACAGCUCAUUCACAAACUGAUCGAGCUGGGGCUCAACACUUCGCUGUGCAACUGGCUGUUGGACUUUCUGACUGGAAGACCUCAGGCAGUACGGGUCGGCAGCAACACAUCCAGCACCAUCACACUGAACACUGGGGCCCCCCAAGGAUGUGUGCUGAGCCCCCUCCUGUUCACUCUGCUGACCCACGACUGCACACCGUCACACAACUCCAACCUCUUCAUUAAGUUUGCGGAUGACACGACUGUGGUGGGUCUCAUUAGCAUUAGCCCCCCCCCCCCCCCAGAUUCCACAUCUGCAGGUCCUUCCACCCCCCCUCCCACUAACAUACGAUGACAUGCACCAGUCACUUUGUGCAGCAUUGGUCUGCUCACUACCUCAUUCACCAUGGAACUGACGUCAUUCUACCACCUCAUCUGUCAGUUAAAUUAAAUAACUGCUCUUGAGCCCUUUUGUCACUUCUUUAUGCACUAAAAAUCUUUUUAUCUGCACUGUUUGUUCACUGGUUUGCACUCUAUCUGCCAUGUGCCUUGCGCUGCUUUUAUUUAACUUUAUUUUUAUUUUAUUUAUUUAUUUAUUUAUUUUAUUAUAUGUAUUUUUUACAUUCCCUUAUUGUAUAGUUAUAUCUUAUAUUUUAUAUUUGAUCUAGAUUUUUUUAGGCUCUACUGUUAGUGUUAUCUGUAUGCACCGGGGGUCUGAGAGUAACGCAAUUUCGAUUCUCUGUAUGUAUGUACUGUACAUGUGGAAGAAUUGACAAUAAAGCAGA